UGGUACAGACCGGGCUCGAAUCGCGGACCUUCCGCGUAUGAAGCGGACGUGAUAACCACCACAUCACUAAACC
RNAcentral lists this transfer RNA (73 nucleotides) under Fasciola hepatica (liver fluke). RNAcentral describes it as "tRNA-Met". The record is from RNAcentral. Lineage: Eukaryota; Metazoa; Platyhelminthes; Trematoda; Plagiorchiida; Fasciolidae.